GGGUUGGUGAGGGCAAUCUAGUCAACAUCUGUCAAUCCAUUGCUUGUUAGCAUUAUUUUAGCUGAUUUGUCUGACUGGGCAGGUGUCCCCUUUCUCCCUCAGUGCUCCAUGUGCAUCCCUCUUGAAGCUUCGCACUCUGUUGAAGAGGACACUCAUCCCAGGUAGAGAGGGGGUGGGAAAUUGGGCCAAUUGAAACUAUGUCCUUUUCUUUCCAUCAGAUAAAUGCUGCUUAACUGGGAUCUGUUGACCUCUCAAAUUC
RNAcentral lists this small RNA (259 nucleotides) under Procavia capensis (Cape rock hyrax). Its description in RNAcentral is "7SK RNA (ENSPCAG00000020658.1)". The stretch from base 1 to 189 matches the Rfam family "7SK RNA". From Rfam's summary of the family: 7SK was discovered as an abundant small nuclear RNA in the mid-70s but a possible function has only recently been suggested. Two independent studies have found that 7SK RNA binds the CDK9/cyclin T complex (known as elongation factor P-TEFb). P-TEFb activates transcription by phosphorylating the C-terminal domain of RNA polymerase II. The record is from RNAcentral. Lineage: Eukaryota; Metazoa; Chordata; Mammalia; Hyracoidea; Procaviidae.